UGCCGUGAGGUGUCGGGUUAAGUCCCAUAACGAGCGCAACCCCUACCUUACGUUGCCAUCAGGUUAAGCUGGGGACGUCUAAAGGAACUGCCUACGCAAGUAGUGAGGAAGGCGGGGAGUGACGUCAAAUCAGCACGGCCCUUACGUCCAGGGCUACACACGUGCUACAAUGGCCGAUACAGAGGGCAGCUACCUGGUGACAGGAUGCAAAUCUCCAAAGUCGGUCUCAGUUCGGAUCGGAGUCUGCAACCCGACUCCGUGAAGUUGGAUUCGCUAGUAAUCGCGCAUCAGCCAUGGCGCGGUGAAUACGUUCCCGGGCCUU
This 322-nucleotide ribosomal RNA is filed under the name uncultured Sphingobacteriales bacterium. Its description in RNAcentral is "bacterial SSU rRNA". It matches the Rfam family "Bacterial small subunit ribosomal RNA", at positions 1063 to 1382 of the family's 1533-position model. The record is from RNAcentral. Lineage: Bacteria; Pseudomonadati; Bacteroidota; Sphingobacteriia; Sphingobacteriales.